This 468-nucleotide ribosomal RNA is filed under the name uncultured bacterium. RNAcentral describes it as "partial 16S ribosomal RNA". It matches the Rfam family "Bacterial small subunit ribosomal RNA", at positions 28 to 507 of the family's 1533-position model. The record is from RNAcentral.
GACGAACGCUGGCGGCGUGCUUAACACAUGCAAGUCGAACGGAAAGGCCCUGCUUUGGUGGGGUGCUCGAGGGGCGAACGGGUGAGUAACACGUGAGUAACCUGCCCUUGACUGUGGGAUAACUUCAUGAAACUGGGGCUAAUACCGGAUAGGAGCUCCUGCUGCAUGGUGGGGGCUGGAAAGUUUCGGCGGUUGGGGAUGGACUCGCGGCUUAUCAGCUUGUUGGAGGGGUAGUGUGUUAGCAAGGCUUGGACGGGUAGCCGGCCUGAGAGGGUGACCGGACACAUUGGGACUGAGAUACGGCACAGCCUACAACGGGAGGCAGCGGUGGGGAAUAGUGUACAAUGGGCGGAAGCCUGAUGUAGCAACGCCGCGUGCGGGAUGAGAGGCAUCGGGUUGUAAUCCGCUUUCGCCUGUGACGAAGCGAGAGUGACGGUAAUGGGUAAAGAAGCACCGGCUAACUCCGUG